Bombus huntii is the source of this 2219-nucleotide long non-coding RNA. RefSeq lists it as uncharacterized. The record is from RefSeq and is a predicted model, not a curated record. The transcript has 2 exons. Lineage: Eukaryota; Metazoa; Arthropoda; Insecta; Hymenoptera; Apidae.
UUAUUAGUGCAUUUUACUCAACAACGUUUUGCCAUACGUCCUAAGAAUAUAAGCGCACCAAGUUGUCCCUUUUAUACGUUACAUACCAGAUAUGUGUAACUUUUAAUAUUAAAGUAAUAUUUUAUUAUGUUUAUUUUAUCGGAAAAUACAAAAAUAUUAGGUAUUAUAAUUGCAAAUAUUUAUAUGUUUAUUUGCGCUUUCAAUUACAUUAUUGUAUUACUUAAUUUUAUUAAAUAUUAUCGUGAUAUAAAUUUUUAUAAAUAUAUUUUCUUACACAACCGGUAUAAAUAUUUUUUUAAUAUUAAUUUUAAUUAAAGAUUAAGGAAAAAUCUGUCGAUAUAUUAAACGCCUCAAUUGCAAGGAAUUAAAAAUAAAAUAUAAGAAACAUUGAGGAACAUGUUUCCCAAAAUUCAUGACUUUCAAAUUGUAAAUACUACAUAAGAGACGACAUAUUAUAACAGGGCGAGAAGAAAUAUUAUUGCAAACACUAUAAUUACUAUUGUGUAUUAAGAUGUGGAAAUGAGACCAAAGCAAGGAAAUACUGGAAAGAAGAGGGAGAAAAAAGAUGCAGACUAUGUGAAAGGAAAGAAGAAGACCUGAGACAUGUAAUAGAAAAAUGUGAAAUAACGACAUAGACGACAAUAACGACAAAGGACAUAGAAAAAACACCAAAUGAGACUGGAGAAGGUCUAACAGAACUAAAAGUAAUAAUAGAGAAGAGAAGGACAAUACAAGACGGGGAGGAACGACAGGAAGGAAGCACAGCAAGGAGGUAGCCCAAAGUUGAAAUAGUUUUUAGUCAUUAGUUUUUAGUUUUUUUAGUUUUAGUUUUUAGAGAUAGAAUAAUUAAGAGAGUGCACUAUAAUAGAGUGGAUAAGAGGGGAGGUAGAUAUAUAAGAAGCGAAAUAGGUAUAAGAGGUGUAAAACCAGAAGGCCAAUUAUUGCUUCGUCCAAAGCCGAAAGGCACAGACUAAGCAAUGAUAAAUAAAUACUAUUGUGUAUUAAAAUAAUGAGUAAUAGUUGAUGCAUGUAGUAUAAUAUUUAAAGGCUCAAGUUCAAAAGUAUUUAUUGCUUUUACUUAUUCGCGAUUUAUAUAAGACAGGAGAAAUGUACAAAUUUUUAGUUAUAUAAUGUUAAGGAACGAUAAUACUUGUAAAUUACAAGAAACUCUAAACGUUAGGAAAGAAGAUAUAUAUGUACGCAGAUAUAUCGUGCAUACACAGCAGGCCACAUUUAUCUCCGCCAUCCUUCAUUUCUAAUAACUCUCCUAUUUGUCACGAUGCAAGAAAUUAUUUUGCGAGAAAGUUAUUGUAUUUCAGGGGAGGAAUUGAGCUCUGAAGUAAUUCACCUUCCUUGAACUUGUACCUCAAUGAAUUGCUUGCGGAAUUUUUGACCCAAAUUAUUUCAAGUGAUAUGUCAUGGGACAUCGUAUUUAGUGGUAAACAAAAAAAUAGGCCAUAUCCUUUAAGUGACAUUACUACUAGUCAAAAUCUCAGAAAAUGUGACCUUGAAAUGACAUUCACUCUUACAGUCUAAUUUUCCUCCUGAAAUGCAUGUACAAUAACUUUCUCUUGAAACAUUUUUCUGUAUCGUGACAAAUAAGAGAGUAAUUAAGGUUGGCAGAGUUAGGUGAUAUAUGUAUAUGUAUUUAUAAUGUUCUUUCUUCCUUACUAGCCAGUUUUUCACGGUCUAUAAACACAUGUAUGUUCAACCAAACUCUGCUUACAUGGGAGCGAAUGUUGUGUGAAAACUUAUGUUAUGUGGAUAUUAUUGGGUAAUUAAGAGUGGGAAUUUAUGUCAUACAUGACAAUAUGUAAUAUGUAUUAAUAUAAUGAGAAUAAUUAUAAUAAGAUUAUUAUAAUCGUAAGACGUCUUAACAUUUGCUCGAUGAUACUAUACCAUAGUAAUAAAAAUGAAGCACUAUGUAAUAGUAUAAUGCAUUAGAACGCGGAAUUAAUUAGCUGAUGUUUCAUUCUUAAACGCAUUUAGAUUUAUCAAUUGUGUAAACAAGAAUAACAACCGAUGUAUAUAUGUGAAAAAACACAUAAAGAUUUGUAGAUAACUAAGGUAUUUAAAAAAAGUAUAUGGAAAAGUAAUUUGUUUUAAGUAGAAUAUUUAUAUAAAUACGAGGAUACUAGCAUACGUAUACGUAUUAGAAACAGCAAAUUUUCACCGUUUUUGUUAUUAAAUAUGUUCUAAUUAUACAAUGGUUGUUUCUA